RNAcentral lists this ribosomal RNA (277 nucleotides) under uncultured bacterium. RNAcentral describes it as "partial 16S ribosomal RNA". It matches the Rfam family "Bacterial small subunit ribosomal RNA", at positions 28 to 334 of the family's 1533-position model. The record is from RNAcentral.
GACGAACGCUGGCGGCAGGCUUAACACAUGCAAGUCGAACGAUCUCUUCGGAGAGAGUGGCAGACGGGUGCGUAACACGUGGGAACCUACCUUUAGUUCGGAACAACGUCGAGAAAUCGUCGCUAAUACCGAAUACGCCCUUCGGGGGAAAGAUUUAUCGCUAAAAGAUGGGCCCGCGGCAGAUUAGCUAGUUGGUGGGGUAAUUGCCUACCAAGGCUACGAUCUGUAGCUGGUCUGAGAGGAUGACCAGCCACACUGGAACUGAGACACGGUCCAG